UACAGAGGGUGCGAGCGUUAAUCGGAAUUACUGGGCGUAAAGCGCGCGUAGGCGGCUUUGCAAGUCGGGUGUGAAAUCCCCAGGCUUAACCUGGGAACUGCAUUCGAGACUGCAUUGCUAGAGUAUGGGAGAGGGAAGUGGAAUUUCCGGUGUAGCGGUGAAAUGCGCAGAUAUUAGGAGGAACACCCGUGGCGAAAGCGGCUCUCUGGGACGGUACUGACGCUGAGACGCGAAAGCGUGGGGAGCAAACAGG
Molecule: ribosomal RNA, 253 nt
Filed under: uncultured bacterium
Lineage: Bacteria
Description: partial 16S ribosomal RNA
Rfam family: Bacterial small subunit ribosomal RNA
Source: RNAcentral